GCGUUUGUAGCUCAAUUGGAUAGAGUAUCAUGUUACGGCCAUGACGGUUGUGGGUUCAAGUCCUACCAAACGUA
Molecule: transfer RNA, 74 nt
Rfam family: tRNA
About the family: Transfer RNA (tRNA) molecules are approximately 80 nucleotides in length. Their secondary structure includes four short double-helical elements and three loops (D, anti-codon, and T loops).